UGGGGAAUCUUGCACAAUGGGGGAAACCCUGAUGCAGCGACGCCGCGUGAGCGAUGAAGGUUUUCGAAUCGUAAAGCUCUGUCCUAUGGGAAGAUAAUGACGGUACCAUGGGAGUAAGCCCCGGCUAACUACGUGCCAGCAGCCGCGGUAAUACGUAGGGGGCGAGCGCUGUCCGGAAUUACUGGGCGUAAAGGGUUCGCAGGCGGCAUGGCAAGUCCGAUGUAAAAGGCGAAGGCUCAACCUUCGUAAGCAUCGGAAACUGUCAAGCUUGAGUGAAGGAGAGGCAAGGGGAAUUCCGAGUGUAGCGGUAGAAUGCGUAGAUAUUAGGAGGAAUACCGGUGGCGAAGGCGACUUGCUGGACUUCAACUGACGCUGAGGAACGAAAGCGUGGGUAGCAAACAGG
Molecule: ribosomal RNA, 403 nt
Filed under: Fusobacteriota bacterium
Lineage: Bacteria; Fusobacteriati; Fusobacteriota
Description: Fusobacteria bacterium partial 16S ribosomal RNA
Rfam family: Bacterial small subunit ribosomal RNA
Source: RNAcentral